AACGAACGCUGGCGGCAGGCCUAACACAUGCAAGUCGAGCGCGCCCUUCGGGGUGAGCGGCGGACGGGUGCGUAACGCGUGGGAACGUGCCCUUCUCUGCGGAAUAGCCCCGGGAAACUGAGAGUAAUACCGCAUACGCCCUUUGGGGGAAAGAUUUAUCGGAGAAGGAUCGGCCCGCGUUGGAUUAGGUAGUUGGUGGGGUAAUGGCCCACCAAGGCGACGAUCCAUAGCUGGUUUGAGAGGAUGAUCAGCCACACUGGGACUGAGACACGGCCCAGACUCCUACGGGAGGCAGCAGUGGGGAAUCUUAGACAAUGGGGGCAACCCUGAUCUAGCCAUGCCGCGUGAGUGAUGAAGGCCUUAGGGUUGUAAAGCUCUUUCAGCUGGGAAGAUAAUGACGGUACCGGCAGAAGAAGCCCCGGCUAACUCCGUG
RNAcentral lists this ribosomal RNA (433 nucleotides) under uncultured bacterium. RNAcentral's name for it is "partial 16S ribosomal RNA". It matches the Rfam family "Bacterial small subunit ribosomal RNA", at positions 29 to 507 of the family's 1533-position model. The record is from RNAcentral.